AAAGAAAGCGUAAUAGCUCACUGGUCGAGUCGGCCUGCGCGGAAGAUGUAACGGGGCUAAACCAUGCACCGAAGCUGCGGCAGCGACGCUGAUGCGUUGUUGGGUAGGGGAGCGUUCUGUAAGCCUGUGAAGGUGUACUGUGAGGUAUGCUGGAGGUAUCAGAAGUGCGAAUGCUGACAUAAGUAACGAUAAAGCGGGUGAAAAGCCCGCUCGCCGGAAGAC
This 222-nucleotide ribosomal RNA is filed under the name Escherichia coli. RNAcentral's name for it is "partial 23S ribosomal RNA". It matches the Rfam family "Bacterial large subunit ribosomal RNA", at positions 1125 to 1345 of the family's 2925-position model. The record is from RNAcentral. Lineage: Bacteria; Pseudomonadati; Pseudomonadota; Gammaproteobacteria; Enterobacterales; Enterobacteriaceae.